CGUAGCCGCGGGAAUACGUAGGUGGCAAGCGUUGUCCGGAAUUAUUGGGCGUAAAGCGCGCGCAGGUGGUUUAAUAAGUCUGAUGUGAAAGCCCACGGCUCAACCGUGGAGGGUCAUUGGAAACUGUUAAACUUGAGUGCAGGAGAGAAAAGUGGAAUUCCUAGUGUAGCGGUGAAAUGCGUAGAGAUUAGGAGGAACACCAGUGGCGAAGGCGGCUUUUUGGCCUGUAACUGACACUGAGGCGCGAAAGCGUGGGGAGCAAACAGGAUUAGAUACCCCUGUAGUCCCUGUCUCUUAUACC
RNAcentral lists this ribosomal RNA (301 nucleotides) under uncultured bacterium. Its description in RNAcentral is "partial 16S ribosomal RNA". It matches the Rfam family "Bacterial small subunit ribosomal RNA", at positions 510 to 808 of the family's 1533-position model. The record is from RNAcentral.